Molecule: ribosomal RNA, 253 nt
Filed under: uncultured bacterium
Lineage: Bacteria
Description: partial 16S ribosomal RNA
Rfam family: Bacterial small subunit ribosomal RNA
Source: RNAcentral
UACGUAGGGGGCAAGCGUUGUUCGGAAUUACUGGGCGUAAAGGGCGCGUAGGCGGCACUGUUAGUCAGGCGUGAAAUUCCUGGGCUCAACCUGGGGACUGCGCUUGAUACGGCAGAGCUUGAGGAUGGAAGAGGGUCGCGGAAUUCCCAGUGUAGAGGUGAAAUUCGUAGAUAUUGGGAAGAACACCGGUGGCGAAGGCGGCGACCUGGUCCAUUACUGACGCUGAGGCGCGACAGCGUGGGGAGCAAACAGG